CCUACGGGAGGCAGCAGUGAGGAAUAUUGGUCAAUGGGCGCGAGCCUGAACCAGCCAAGUCGCGUGAAGGAUGACUGCCCUACGGGUUGUAAACCUCUUUUAUCAAGGAGUAAAGUGAGGCUCGUGUGCCGCUUUGUAUGUACUUUAUGAAUAAGGAUCGGCUAACUCCGUGCCAGCAGCCGCGGUAAUACGGAGGAUGCGAGCGUUAUCCGGAUUUAUUUGGUUUAAAGGGAGCGUAGAUGGGUGGUUAAGUCAGUGGUGAAAGUUUGCGGCUCAACCGUACAAGUGCAGUUGAUACUGGCAGUCUUGAGUACAGUUGAGGUAGGCGGAAUUCGUGGUGUAGCGGUGAAAUGCUUAGAUAUCACGAAGAACUCCGAUUGCGAAGGCAGCUUACCAAACUGCCACUGACAUUGAUGCUCGAAAGUGUGGGUAUCAAACAGGAUUAGAUACCCUGGUAGUC
Molecule: ribosomal RNA, 460 nt
Filed under: uncultured bacterium
Lineage: Bacteria
Description: partial 16S ribosomal RNA
Rfam family: Bacterial small subunit ribosomal RNA
Source: RNAcentral